UUGUUUUGUUUUGUUUUCACCUCAAAACUGCCUCAUGGGGCUGGAAGGUGCCAUACACACCCUUCUGUGAAGUCAUGGGUGGCUGCCCCACCUCACUCAGGAUUCCGGCCUUCUACCUCAUAAGCAGAAAAGGCUGCAGACCAUCAGCCUCCAACACCUCCGACAUCUUCCAACAUCUCAUGGACAUAACACCUUACGCACCUGCUUUUGCAGGGAAAAUGUCUUUCUUUUAAGACCACCAGGAACAAAGAUCUAUCAAAAGAUGACAUGCUGAAGGUCAGAUCUGUAGUUCCUGCAUCCACAAGAAUAACCACACUUGCAGCUGUUUACACCGUAUUUGCUGGCCUGCUUGAGCCAAACCCUCACUCCGGAAAUGUUAGCCCGCCUCGGUUUUAAGAGUGAUAAAGAAAGGAUCAUUAAGGCCUGCGAGAAUCUGUAUGACUUAGUAUACAUCUAUGUCUCUUCAACCAAUGCAAUAUUCAAAAUCCUCAAUCAAUAUCUUGGCACUGAGUUCCCCAUCUUGGCAGUAAAAGAAAACUUUAGCAUUAAAGAGAAUAUGCAGCUCCUGAUCAAUGCUUUGAAAGAGAUGCAAACCACCAUGGGAUAUGACACAGAGGAAGAAGGAAGCAUAAGUCGAAGUUUGUAUGCUAGAAUUGCUGGUCCCAUCAACACUUUGCAGGACAACGUGGCUACAGUAAAAGGUCUUUAUGAUAAUUAUAAGGGGGUUGUAGGAAGCCUGGUGGGUGCACUUGUUGGAGUGAUGUUAAAAAAAGAUAAUUUCCCCGACACAGUAGAGGCUGCUGUUCAUCAGUUACUGAGUUCACCUGCUUUAUCCCUCCAUGUAUCAGAACUUCUCUUGGACUAUGCUGAUAUCGCUAAAAUGCUGCAACAAAAUGAUCCACCAAGCACCACAGCAAGCGGCUCCUCCUCGGGUGAAACAUCACAACAGCUCAGACUUCGUUCUCUACCCUCCUCCUCUUUACUUUUCAUACGGACCCUCCUUCAAGGACACAGAUCCAUAAAGAAAAGCCU
Molecule: long non-coding RNA, 1032 nt
Organism: Oxyura jamaicensis (ruddy duck)
Lineage: Eukaryota; Metazoa; Chordata; Aves; Anseriformes; Anatidae
Exons: 3
Source: RefSeq, a predicted model, not a curated record